Cyanistes caeruleus (blue tit) is the source of this 547-nucleotide non-coding RNA. The record is from RefSeq and is a predicted model, not a curated record. NCBI's taxonomy places the organism in Eukaryota, Metazoa, Chordata, Aves, Passeriformes, Paridae.
UGGAGACCAAGAGUUUGGAGCCUAACUCAAGUAGGACAUAGCACAAUGCAGUGACAUAGUGCUACAGAAUGUCUGAGUAUCCCACAAGACCUGGGGACAGAUCAGUACCAAGCUGGCUGGAGGAGCCCUUGUGUGCCUCAACUGGUGCAGCAGGUGUCAACUCAAGCAACAGGCAAAGGAAAGCAGCUACAGUGUAAAAGUUAACUUGUAAGAACUGUUUCUGGAAGAGUCAAACACCUGCUAUCAGCCAUGGGAAUUUACAAGCUUUCCAACACAACUGAAGAAAUCCAGGAAACCACAGUGACAGAUACACUUGAAACAACCAUUUCAUGUAAUGAUCACCUGACAUUUAACUACAGGAACCUGUUUUGGAAGAAUUAUAGCCUUAAGGGCAGGUGCGCUGGUUAUACAGGAGUUCAUCCAUUUUUCCACUGUAGAUGUGAAAGCCUUUGACAUAUGAAGAGCACUAAGAGCUGGUGGGUUAAUGCCUGACUUCUGACACUACAUUGAAGCCGCACUGGGCCAGCUAGAGUCUCCCUUUGGAUAU